GAUGAACAUAUCAAACGACGUCGUUCCGGUGAACCCUAGAUAUUAAGCACCAAGCCACCAACAGCAGGCACCCGAAGAAUUUCAAACGUUAACUGAAGAAGACGCAGCUAAUAGCGAUGGAUAGAAGGAAAAGAACAACAGAAGAGGAGAUGAAGAAGACGAAGCAGAAUAGCUACAAUGGAGAAAGCGAAAUCUUCGCUUCUUGCUCUUUCUCCAGCCUCGGUCUUCACCCUACCUUGUGUGAUCAGCUCCGAGAAAGGAUGGGGUUCGAAGUUCCGACCAUCGUCCAGGCAGAAGCAAUUCCAGUAAUUCUCGCUGGGCGUCAUGUACUUGUUAAUGCUGCUACUGGCACUGGGAAAACUAUUGCAUACUUGGCUCCUGUUAUUAAUCAUUUACACAAGUAUGAUCCUCGAAUUGAGCGGUCAGCUGGAACUUUUGCGUUGGUUCUUGUACCAACGCGGGAGUUGUGCAUGCAGGUUUAUGAAAUCUUGCAGAAGUUAUUGCAUCGGUUCCAUUGGAUUGUCCCAGGGUACGUGAUGGGUGGUGAAAACAGGUCAAAAGAGAAAGCCAGGCUGCGCAAAGGCAUAUCUAUUCUCGUUGCAACUCCAGGACGUCUUCUGGAUCACUUAAAAAAUACAUCAUCCUUCUUGCACACAAAUUUGAGAUGGAUAAUCUUUGAUGAAGCAGAUAGGAUUCUGGAGUUAGGAUUUGGUAAAGAAAUAGAGGAGAUACUAGAUCUUUUGGGUUCAAGGACAAAUGGGCCUACUAUCAGGGAGGAUGCAGUUACUUCAGAAUUUCAGAGGCAGAAUUUACUGUUAUCAGCUACUUUAAAUGAAAAAGUAAACCAUCUUGCUCAAAUUAGUUUAGAAAAUCCAGUUACAAUUGGUCUUGAUGGCAAGAAGAUGCAACCAAAACCAUCGCUUGAACAUUUUGGGUCUGUUGAAUUUGAUGUGGAUGAUGACUCAGAAAAGUUACGCAAAAUAAUAAGCCCAUCAAAUGGGGAUUAUAAACUUCCAGCUCAAUUAGUUCAGAGAUAUGUGAAAGUGCCCUGUGGCUCACGGCUAGUGGUGCUUCUUUCCAUUUUAAAGCAUCUUUUUGAGAGAGAAGCUUCCCAAAAGAUUGUGGUAUUCUUUUCGACAUGCGAUGCAGUAGAUUUCCACUAUUCACUGUUCAGUGCAUUCCUGUGGCCAGCCAAUUUACAUCCAGAAACAGAAGAUAGACAGAUGUUUUUGAGAUUCAAAACAUUUCAGUUGCAUGGAAACAUGAAGCAUGAAGAUCGAAGAACCACCUUUCAGACCUUCAAAAAGGAGAAAUCAGCUCUUCUCUUGUCUACAGAUGUUGCUGCUAGGGGCCUGGAUUUUCCAAAAGUUCGUUGUAUCAUACAGUAUGAUUCUCCAGGGGAGGCUAGUGAAUAUGUCCAUAGGGUUGGAAGAACUGCACGGUUGGGAGAAAGGGGAGAUUCUUUGUUAUUUCUACAACCAGUUGAAAUGGAUUAUUUGCAAGACCUAGAGAAACAUGGUGUAUCUCUGACAGAGUAUUCACUUCUCAAAGUGUUAGAUAGUUUCCCAUUGUCUGGUCAGAAGCACCAUAUCAAGAAGUUUAUUUCGUUAGAGAUGCAUCCGUGGUCGCUUUAUUUGCAGAAGGCACUAGAAUCCUUCAUCUUUGCUGAGCCCAAGAUGAAGAAGCUGGCCAAGGAUGCAUUUUGCUCUUGGGUCCGUGCAUAUACAGCCCACCGUGGUGAGCUGAAAAGAAUUUUUCAGGUGAAAAAACUUCAUCUGGGGCAUGUGGCAAAGAGCUUUGCAUUGAAGGACCAACCCUCCCUGGUUGGAAAAUCAAUGCAAAUGCAAACAAAAAAGAGGAAAAGAGAUCAGAAACAACAGGGACUGUCCAAAAGGAAGAAGCUUGCUAGAAAAACAUGAAUCGACGACAUUGCAUUUUUAAUUAUCACCUUAUCCAAUGGGCAAGUUGAGAAUGGUACCGAUGCUAAAGACUCCUACAGUCAACUCCCUCCAUUGGGCUACCCCAGGCAUGUUGUAGGCAGGCUGAUCACCAAAUCACAUGAUCUGCAGACAUCAUUUUCUUAUGAACUGGCGGUGGCUGGCAAUGGCUGUGCCCGUUCGGUUGGCAAUGAGGAGUUGGUUUUCCAGCCAAAGGUCAAGCCAACCGUACUGUGGGCAAUAAAAUCCAUGACCCACAUUAGUUGGAAAAUCUUUUCCUCUACACAGUUUCAGAUCCUAUGGAUUUUCAUCCGUAGGUCCCGCAAAUUUUACCCAAAACUCAUAAUUUCAAUAAUGAAAGACGUCCUAUAAUCUACCCUGACCGUGGACAGUUAUGACCCGGCAAACGUACACACAGUGUGGCCCCGAUCAGAUCAGUCAACCUUCACAAACGUACGGUGAGAAGCAAGCGGAAGGCGUGGGCCCCAGCUUGGCGAGCACCUCAGACCUCCCUAUGCGUUGACGAUUAGACGACCAUAAAUAUAACGGUGAGGUGUAGAUACUCCCACGUCAGGUAAAUAGGAUCACUUGGUUGGGCUCACUUAUGGGCCCAUGAGACACGGAUAUAUUUAUUAGUCUUUGGCCCACUUCGCGUCCUAGUUGUCGGACGACCCUUUUCGUCUAUCUCAAUUUAUCUCUUUGAUUGUGACCUGCUUUA
This is an RNA transcript of Vitis riparia (riverbank grape), 2655 nucleotides long. It is a transcript of the gene named DEAD-box ATP-dependent RNA helicase 17, with no coding region annotated. The transcript has 11 exons. Lineage: Eukaryota; Viridiplantae; Streptophyta; Magnoliopsida; Vitales; Vitaceae. The record is from RefSeq and is a predicted model, not a curated record.